UUGACUACAAUUUAUGUGAAAUUAUUGUAUUUAUAUAAAUACCUAAUUGGUGUGUUUUUUUAAAGAUCGCAGAUUCUGCAUUUCUUGCAAAACAUUAACUCAUUCGCCGGAUCUUGAAAAAGUAUCAGAAAGGACAUUGAGUGGUUUUGGAACUUGGAAAUUCAAAACAAAUUUGACCGAAUUGAUUAAUUUUUGAAGAAAUUUGGAAUCAACUGUUAUUGUGAGACUCGUUGCCGGAAAAUUCUGCAAAGAAGGAAAUAUGAGGCAAUGCGGGGUUUUUCGGCAACAAAAAGAUGUUGCUAACAAUAUUCAGAUUAUAAAAUUAAUUUAAUUUUUAUAUUUAAAUAAAAGAUGCAAUUAUA
This is a long non-coding RNA of Culicoides brevitarsis, 362 nucleotides long. RefSeq lists it as uncharacterized. The transcript is spliced from 2 exons. NCBI's taxonomy places the organism in Eukaryota, Metazoa, Arthropoda, Insecta, Diptera, Ceratopogonidae. The record is from RefSeq and is a predicted model, not a curated record.